This 236-nucleotide ribosomal RNA is filed under the name uncultured bacterium. RNAcentral describes it as "partial 16S ribosomal RNA". It matches the Rfam family "Bacterial small subunit ribosomal RNA", at positions 100 to 334 of the family's 1533-position model. The record is from RNAcentral.
CGGGACGGGUGAGUAACGCGUGGGUAACCUGCCUUAUACAGGGGGAUAACAGUCAGAAAUGGCUGCUAAUACCGCAUAAGCGCACAGAGCUGCAUGGCUCAGUGUGAAAAACUCCGGUGGUAUAAGAUGGACCCGCGUUGGAUUAGCUAGUUGGUGGGGUAACGGCCCACCAAGGCGACGAUCAGUAGCCGACCUGAGAGGGUGACCGGCCACAUUGGGACUGAGACACGGCCCAA